UACGGGGGGGGCAAGCGUUGUUCGGAUUUACUGGGCGUAAAGGGCGCGUAGGCGGCGCGGUAAGUCACUUGUGAAAUCUCUGAGCUUAACUCAGAACGGCCAAGUGAUACUGCAGUGCUAGAGUGUGGAAGGGGCAAUCGGAAUUCUUGGUGUAGCGGUGAAAUGCGUAGAUAUCAAGGGGAACACCUGAGGUGAAGACGGGUUGCUGGGCCAACACUGACGCUGAGGCGCGAAAGCCAGGGGAGCAAACGGG
RNAcentral lists this ribosomal RNA (253 nucleotides) under uncultured bacterium. RNAcentral describes it as "partial 16S ribosomal RNA". It matches the Rfam family "Bacterial small subunit ribosomal RNA", at positions 524 to 776 of the family's 1533-position model. The record is from RNAcentral.